UUUUUUUUUUUUUUUUUUUAUAUUUUUAGGGCCGCACCUGCAGCAUAUGGAAGAAAGAUUCCAGGCUAGGGGUCACAUUGGAACUGCAGCUGCUGGCCUACACCACAGCCACAGCCACAUCAGAUCUGAGUCACAUCUUGCAGCCUGUGCUGCAGCUUGCAGCAACACUAGGUCCUUAACCCACUGAGUGAGACCAGGGAUUGAAUCCACAUCCUUGCAGAUACCAUGUCAUUUUCUUAACCUGCUGAGCCACAACACAAAGUCCUGAAUUAUCAUGCUUUUUAACUGCUCUAGUUUACACAGCUUCCAGGAACAUCCAGCUCCCACAAGGUACUCUUACUCCAGAGCUUUUGCUGAUGCAAGGAUCCAGUCACAGUGACAUGACACCUCUCCUUUCCCUCAAUUCUAGGAAAGCAGGAUGAAGGGUGAACAACCAUCCAGGUGCAGCCAAGGUUAAAACCACAGCUGAACAGAAUUAAGUGUCCGGUGAUCUCCCCUUAGCCUUAUUUUCAACCAGCGUCCCACAACAAAAUGAAGGUGCAAACCAUAUUCCUCCUCCUUCCCACCCCUCCCCCACCUCCCCUCAACUUGGACCCUGAUCCCAGACCUUGAGGACUAGGAGCCUGGUGAUCUGUGUCCUUAUGUUGCUUGCUCACCGAGUUGGAGAAGGGAUGGGCAUGGAGUUCAUUAGAAGUCCCAGAACUCCAAAUCCACUCUCCAGGUUGUUAAGAGAUGACCGAGGUAGGCUGCCUUGGUUUCCCCAAGGUGGUCUAAAGAGGUCAAAAGGAGAACAGCUCAGAGAGAUUUUUUUUUUUUUGUCUUUUGUUGUUGCUAUUUCUUGGGCCGCUCCCGCGGCAUAUGGAGGUUCCCAGGCUGGGGGUCCAAUCGGAGCUGUAGCCGCCAGCCUACACCAGAGCCACAGCAACAUGGGAUCUGAGCCGAGUCUGCAACCUACACCACAGCUCACGGCAACGCCGGAUCGUUAACCCACUGAGCAAGGGCAGGGACCGAACCCGCAACCUCAUGGUUCCUAUCGGAUUCGUUAACCACUGAGCCACGACGGGAACUCCCAGAGAGAUCUUGAUUGGAAUAUGCCCUAGGUUUAUUGAGCAAUCAAUUGUCCUCAGAGAUGGUCUUCAAGGACCUCUGUCAAAUCCUUGGUUCUUAGCUUGGUUCCUUAAUGCACUUAGGAAGCAAAAAAGGGCCAUUCACUGCUGACCAUAUGCUGCUCCCAAAUCAUCCAGGGAUGUCACUAGAGCAAGCUUCAGUCAGCCAGGUCUUGAGCUCUUCACCUGUGAAGGUCAAGCCCAAAACAAAUUGGAGAGGAUCCUGGGCUUUGGAGCAGAACACCCCUGAAAUUGAACACUGAGGGGGCCCCAGGAUUCUGAUACAGACGGGCACAUCUGAAGGGAAGCCAGGACUAGAUCUUGUUACAGCAAGAAUACUGCAUUUAUGGAAGAAGGCAGGGGAGUGAUGCAGAUUAUACAAUGUGUUAAGCCUCCCAAAGUUACCCCUUCAUGAAUCAGUGUUAGAAUUCUGACUCUAUUUUGUCCUGGCUGUGAACCUCAGCUGUAUUCCUUCACCUCUUUGGUCCUUAGUUUUAUUGUCUGUAAAAUGGGAGUAAUGUUGCAGGGAUGUUGUGUACAUAAAAUGUGAUUAACAUUAGUAAGAGCUCAGCAGAGGGCAGAGCCCAUGGUGGAUUAGCAGUUGCCAGCUAAUUCAGAGUCCCUGGGACUGGGACCUUGAGGACUAUUUAUGUUGUCUAUUUCUUCUUAAAUGUAGACUGUGCUUUCUCAGAAUUUGUCUAUUUCAUCAAAGUUAUUGAAUUUAUUGGUAUAAAGUUGUUAAUACUAUUUCUUUAUUAUCCUUUUAAUAUAUGUAAACUCUGU
This 1889-nucleotide long non-coding RNA is filed under the name Sus scrofa (pig). RNAcentral's name for it is "lncRNA (ENSSSCG00060040522.1)". The record is from RNAcentral. Lineage: Eukaryota; Metazoa; Chordata; Mammalia; Artiodactyla; Suidae.